RNAcentral lists this long non-coding RNA (131 nucleotides) under Callithrix jacchus (white-tufted-ear marmoset). Its description in RNAcentral is "lncRNA (ENSCJAG00000077789.1)". The record is from RNAcentral. Lineage: Eukaryota; Metazoa; Chordata; Mammalia; Primates; Cebidae.
UCAUGUAUAUCUGUCUUCAGAAGUGGUCAGAAAAUCAGUAUCUGCCAACAGUUAGAUAUGGCAUGAUGAUGGAGCAAUGAAAAUAGCAACAAUAUGAGAAAAAAGGUAAUAUUUUACUCAUUUUGAAAAGU